UUUAUUGGAGAGUUUGAUCCUGGCUCAGGAUGAACGCUGGCGGCGUGCCUAAUACAUGCAAGUCGAGCGAAUGGAUUAAGAGCUUGCUCUUAUGAA
This 96-nucleotide ribosomal RNA is filed under the name Bacillus thuringiensis. Its description in RNAcentral is "partial 16S ribosomal RNA". It matches the Rfam family "Bacterial small subunit ribosomal RNA", at positions 1 to 92 of the family's 1533-position model. The record is from RNAcentral. Lineage: Bacteria; Bacillati; Bacillota; Bacilli; Caryophanales; Bacillaceae.